RNAcentral lists this ribosomal RNA (492 nucleotides) under uncultured bacterium. RNAcentral's name for it is "partial 16S ribosomal RNA". It matches the Rfam family "Bacterial small subunit ribosomal RNA", at positions 29 to 507 of the family's 1533-position model. The record is from RNAcentral.
AGUGAACGCUGGCGGUAGGCCUAACACAUGCAAGUCGAACGGCAGCACAGUAAGAGCUUGCUUCUACGGGUGGCGAGGGGCGGACGGGUGAGGAAUACAUCGGAAUCUACUUUUUCGUGGGGGAUAACGUAGGGAAACUUACGCUACUACCGCAUACGAUCUACGGGUGAAAGCAGGGGAUCUUCGGACCUUGCGCGAUUGAAUGAGCCGAUGUCGGAUUAGCUUGUUGGCGGGGUAAAGGCCCACCAAGGCGACGAUCCGUAGCUGGUCUGAGAGGAUGAUCGGCCACACUGGAACUGAGACACGGUCCAGACUCCUACGGGAGGCAGCAGUGGGGAAUAUUGGGCAAUGGGCGCAAGCCUGAUCCAGCCAUACCGCGUGGGUGAAGAAGGCCUUCGGAUUGUAAAGCCCUGUUAUUGGGAAAGAAAAGCAGCAGGUGAAUACCCCGAUGUUCUGACGGUACCCAAAGAGUAAGCACCGGCUAACUUCGUG